Molecule: unclassified non-coding RNA, 345 nt
Filed under: Mikaniopsis clematoides
Lineage: Eukaryota; Viridiplantae; Streptophyta; Magnoliopsida; Asterales; Asteraceae
Description: partial contains external transcribed spacer and 18S ribosomal RNA
Source: RNAcentral
UUGCAUUGUCUUGAGUGUAUUGUGGGUUUCCUGUGUUGCAUACCUAAAUGAUGGUAUCGUUUUGGUUGAUCGAUGUCCCUUUUCAUCUUGUGUUGCCUUUGUGACGCAUGAUGAACCUUGAAGUGGUCUCUAUGUUCCAUCAUGUUGAUGCAAAUGCAUUGAUGUUGUGGCCCAUUGAGUGUUGCUUGGUAUCUUGGAUAUGGAACAUUAUGUGGGCAUGGGGUCUCUCAUGACUCUUGUUUUGUCCUUGUUCAGUGUUCUUUAAAACGACGGAUCAUGUGCGCCUAGGCUCGUACCUGCGUGAUGKUCUUUGUCGAAGAGGAAUGCUACCUGGUUGAUCCUGCC